UGAAGAAAGUGGGUUGCUCACCACCAGCUUCAGAGCUUUCGUAGUUGUUAAUUGUGGAAAUUUUGGAGCCCUUCCUAAGUGCAUGGUCAGCAUCACCUCCCUUCGACAAUUAAGUGUGUGCAACUGUUCGGCUGACAUAUCAUUUCCAUCGGAGGGAUUCCCUACCAAUCUCACAUCACUUGCAAUCUCAAACGCACCCAAAAUUUAUAGGUCACUUGUGGAAUGGGGAUUAAAUAGACUCACCUCUCUUCAAGAAUUGACCAUCGGAGGUGGAGGAUGCUCAAACGUGGUGUCGUUCCCAGAAGAAGGGAUUGGAAUGAUGUUGCCUCCUUCUCUCACCUGUAUCAAGCUUUUCAAAUUUGAGAACCUGGAAUUCAUGUUAUCCGAGGGCUUUCAAGACCUUGCCUCUCUUAAAGGAUUGGUGAUCGAUAAUUGUCCCAAGCUAACAUCUCUUCCGGAAAAAGACAUGCUUCUCUCGCUUGGACGUUUAUGUAUUUACAGGUGUCCGUUGCUGAAAGAAGAGUGCUUAAGCGAUAAAGGACGAGAGUGGUCUAAGAUUUCCCACAUAGCCCUUGUUGAAAUUGAUUUUAAAAGUGUAAUCCCGGGGAAAUCAAAUUGAAAGAUGAGCUACAAAAUCUGUGAUUGGUUUCUUCAGAGUCAUGGGGCAGGUACAAAAAGCCAUUUCAAACAUUUCUAACUUUCCUUAUGAACAAGAUAAUAAUAGGAAUUAGUAUAAAUUUAUUUAUUGAUAUUUGCAGGCAUUGAAAGCUAAGUUGGGGUGGAAGUGGGCUUUCAGAAAGAUCCUUUGGAGGAAAAGUAAAAAGAUGUCACUUCUCUUCGGUAUUUGUAUAUAACCAUACUGAUGCCAUUGAAGAGAAUUUGUCAUUUUGGAGAAUAUUUUGGAUUCUUAGAUGUGAUGAAUUUGGUAUUGUUUAAACCAUAUGAUAUAAGCAUGUGAAACAUUAAUUAUUUCCAUCAAUUUGCAGUAUUCCUGUCUGAUCUUUUUGAUAUAUUUAUUUAUUUUUACAGGUGAUGAAAGCUAAAUCGACGAGGUAGUGUUGAUUUCAGAAGAUCUUUUCAAGAAAACUAAUGAAGACAUGGGGUAGAGAGUUGGAGAAUAAACAAGGAAAAAAGAAGUCGAAGAGCGGGUGCUAUACUUUCUUCGUCCUUAGAACAAGUUUAAGCAACUCAUCAUUAAGAAUUGAGGUGGUGCAAAAUUCUCAUCUUGGAUGGCAGAUUCUUGUUUCCAAAACUUAUAUUUAAACCAAAUGAUAUAAGCAUGCAAAACUUAACUUAUUUCCAUCAUUUUGCAUGAUUCCUGUCUCAUCUUUCUUUCUCAUUUUGCAUUAAUAGUGUUUGAUUGGAUCUGCAGAGUACCCUUUGUUAGACAUAGUUAAAUACAUGAGAGUUCUUUGGUAGCCAUUGCUUCGUCGAGGACCGCACAGACUAACAUUUCCUGGAAAUAACAGAGGGAGAUACAGGACCGCUCAGGCUAACACUCAAACCACAGGUGUGAAAAUUUAAACCUUGACCAAUUUGAUAGCUAUUUAGUUCGAUAAUAUGUGAUUGUCCUGAGGAACAAGUUGAUAAUAGCAAUCAAUAUUAUCUUUGCAGGUGAAAGAAAGCUAAAUUGGUGAGGUAGCAUUCAACUGAGCUACUUUAGCUUAUUUGAUUUUUAUAAAGAGGUUAGUUGAUUCUAUUAUGCAACAUUUAUUCAGCAACAUAAAUGCUAUGUUUUCAUCUGCAUGUUCUAAUUAUACCACUAAGCUUCCUUUCUUUAUACCGACCUUGUAUUCAGGAUUGUGGAUACCAUCCUGGUGACAUUGCUAUGCCAAUCCAAAAUUCAUUCAAUCUACAAAGUAUAAAUGUUGAUGAGAUGUUAUUGGCAUAAUGUGAUUGAGUGUCACUUUGCAAAAUUACCACACUUCAAUGGGUGGAAUUUGUCAUUUAGUAUUUUUUAUUUUGGCCGUAGAUGUAGGGAUUAUUCCCGAACCAUGUAUAUUAUAAUGUUAUUUAUUUUAUUUUCUUAUACGGUUUGACAAAUGGUCAUGUGGCGUUGACAACCCCUAAUUUCGGUUUUCGCCGUUUGCUGUUUUUCAGAUUUCUCGUUACAUACCUAGUUCGAUUUCUAUGAGAACGCAACUACAAGACCCCCGAGACUUAAAUAUGACAAAUAAAAUGAUUAUAACAAUAUCGAGGCACAAGAUAACUAAGAAUCGAACUCUUUCAACACACCAAAACUCUUCCAUACUCUUAUCGUAAAUUCAAACCGUAAUCACACGAAAUUACGAUGUUGAAGGAGCACCCAACAUCUCACGACCCUCGCCUAAACGCAACGAAUUAAUUAAUUAACAAUCAAAGAAUUUAGCAACAUCACUAGCAUCCCAGUAUUCCCAAAUUUAACAACAUCACUAACUAAAACGUAACCUAAGAGGAGAGAAAUUGACGCAACCAAGGAAGGGACAAAUUGGAAACCCAACGAGCAGCAACCCAACGUUUAAAGCGAAACUCCCAAAGCAAAAAUUGAAAGAACAGUUGAAUAAAUGAAACAAGAAAAUCAAAAUUUGGAAUUUGAAAUUGCUGCGUGGCUUAGGGAAAUAACAAAAGGGGAAACGUGGGUUUUGGGGUUUUUAACAAAAAUAAAUUAAACAAAAGCAAAACAUAAAAUGGAAUUAAACAUAAAUUAAAUACUUACUUUAUUUAUUUCAAAACAAACCUACGAUUGAAUUGAGAUUUAAACUCAAUAUCUCAGGUAUAGAAUCAAAGCACUUGACCACUGAUACAGAUACUUAAAUAUUAUGAAAUUCGUUAAAACAAAAUUUAAUAAAUCAGGGCAUUAGACAAGAUUUCUUUUGAGUUUAAGAGCUUUGCCAAAAUGAAGUAAUAUUAUUUUCAUGUACAGUGUAACCUCCAUAAUCUAACUGUAACGUUAAAAUUGGAUUUGGGAUGUUACAAAUCACUUAGCCCCCGAAUUUUUUUGGAUUCAAUCAUUAGAAUACUCGAGUGUUCCAUUAUAACAAUAAAAAUAUUACAACUCGACUUAUCACAUUUGCAGUACACAGAUUAUUGAUUAUUUUUUGUGUUGAUUCUUAGGCCUAGCGUGUGCUAUCAAGUUGGUGGCUCCAUUGUCAGGAGUUUGUGUGUGAUUGAGUGAUUUGCUUGAUUAAUGCAUGUUUACUAAGGAGAUAAUUAGCAAAACUUAAGUCUAUAAAUAUGAUGCUUGUUUUUUCUUGCAAUUGCUUGUUUAUUUUAUUCGUUAAGUGUUUUUGAAAUUGGAAACUUGUACAAUAAUGUUGACAUCACCAUUUUACAAUGGAGAACUAUUUUUACAAUGAUCUUUCUUCUCAUUUAUUCUAACUUCACAAAGUUAUUGAAUCUCAUACCUACUCGAUCUUGAAAUGUACACAACCAUCGUCACAUUCUACAAUUGCUUCAUCGAAGAGAAUGUACACAAAAAACAUUGGGUUAUUCAUUUUCAAAACGAUUUUUGUUUUCUCUUCUACUGAACACUAAUAUUUCUCUCUUUUUUAUUCUUUUUCGGUUGAACAAUUAGAGCAAUGUUAAAAAAAAAGUAUAUGUAGGGACUGGUGCAGCCAAAGAGCUUGGCGGCAACAGAAAAAUUUUAAUGGAAAAAAAAAUAGCCUAGUGUCGCCAAUGAGAAGAAUGGCACCAAAAAAAUUUGAACUUUCUGACAAAAAAUACAUUAGUGCCGCCAAUGGCAAGGGUGACAAAAAAAAAUCUAUUUUUUAUUUAAAAUAUUAUUUUUUCUGACAGGUUUUGUCAAGGAGAAUAGCGACACAAAAAAAGCUUUAUGCAAAAUCUUUGACACAUUUUAAAAAAAAACAUUGGUAUCGCUAAUGAUAACGACAACACCCAUUAAAAUAUUUUUUACUUUUUUUUUCUUUUUCUCCUAGAAUAUCAGUAUUUUUGACUGGUGGGCGAUUAUACAUAUUGGUGUCGCCAAUGACUACAAUAACACUCAAAAAUUAAUUUUUUAUUAAAACGGACAAUAAUUUAGUAAUUAUUAGGGGUGGUGCUAUUAAUGGCAAUAACAACACCAAGUUUUACUGUAAUAAAAGAAUUAUUUACGUAAAUAAUUUUGAAAGAGAAUAAUUUUUGUAAUUUAAAAAAAGGCCCGUUAGGUUAGGUUAUAUUUUAUUUUUGUUUUAUGGAUAUUCAUGUUCAAUAAUAUUAUAUUUUUCGUAUGUUUGGAAAUGGUUUGCACAUUUAUGAAUAAUUACAUUUCACAGGUAUUCAUUUUUUUUAAAAAGAAAAUUAGGUAGUCUUGUAGAAAGUUAAUAAUUUUAAAGUUAAUAAUUACAUGUUCAAUAAUUUUAAAUACAUUGAUUAAUGGUUUCAUUUUGUUAUUAAGUAUUAUGAGGGUGUUAAUAUCUUCCUCAAUGGAAAAUUACUCUCGAACUCAAAUUUUAUUUUGUAGACAAAAAAAUAUCCUUUCAAUAAAUUUUAAUUAAAAUAAUAUACUUUUACUUUUGAAAUGGUCAAUCACACUUAAAGAAAAAACAUUAAUGUCAAACUCUAUAUAUUUAAAAUUAAAUUGAGUGUAGAAAGCCAAAGUUUUGGUUGAAGUCAAUGUAUUUCUGGAUCUGGAACUCAUGCAUGGAGGGAGAAAGGUUUUGAAGACUGCAUUUAUAGCUUAACAGGUGUAAAGCUGGAUUGCAGACUUAGGCUUGGGAUAUUGCUUCAAUAUUUAUUUUUUUUAAUGCAUCAGUAUUUUAUUUGUAAAAAAAUAAUACUUAUAUUUUACUGUUUAAAUUUUAAAUAUUUAAAAUAAACUUGACAUUCAUAAGUUAGGCUGAAUAAAAUUUUAUUUGAUUCGAAAAAAUUUAACUAUUUUUUAUUAAAAUUAAGUGACCUGAAUACUUAUUUAAAUAAAUACAGUGAUAAAAUAAAAUAAAAGAAGAAUCCAUAUAAAAUUAUAUUUCUUUUAUUUAUUUUAGAAUAAGGUUUUUUAAACCUUAUUAAAUUCUAUCUAUUUAAUAUUGAUUAGAAUAAGGUAUUUCAAUCUUACUAAAAUAUGGCUUUAUAAGCCUAUAAAUAAACAUAGUCUAUCCUCUUGUAAUUAUUCGAAUUCGAUAUAGUGAAUUUUUUUUUCCUCUGCCCGUGCUUUUUUCCCGAAAGGUUUUCCAUGUAAAAUCUUUGUGUGUUUUUAUUUUUUUAUUUUAUUUUUUAUUUUCACAUUUUUAAAUUUUGAGUUAUUUGAAUUGUUACAAUCAACUCGAAUAAGUAAUUCGGGUUUUGAGUUCGAAUUAAGUUGAAUUUUACAAUUUAAAUAACUCAAAUAAUUUAAAUAACAGAUUGGUAUAAAUACCAUUUUGGUCCAAAUUUAAAAAUAAGCAAAUUAGUUUCUUUUUACAAAAAAUUACGAAAAAAAAUUCAAACUCAAAAUAUUUAUAAAAAAAUUCAAAAUUCAUAUCUUUUAAAAAAUUAUAAAAUUUUCAAAAAAAUUAUAAAAAUAUAUAAAGAAAUUUAAAAAUUAAAAAAUUUCUAAAAUAAUAAUUUUGGGACCUAAAUAAAUUAAUUAAUGAUUUAAGUUUAUCAUAAUAAAAUAUUUAUUAUUAUUAUUUAUUAAAAAUAACUGUAUAUAACUAAAAUUCAUUGAAUAAAAUUAAUUUAUUAUUAACUUAUGCAUUAAAACAUAAAACUUGUAUGGCGUAAAUAAAUACAAUUAGAUAGUCAUAAUUACUGAAUUAAUUUACAGAAUAUAAUAUAUUAAAUAUGCGUUAUUUUUAGCCGGCGAAUAAAAUCAUGAAGCGAAAAAUUCGUACGGGAUAAAAUAAAGAAAUUGGAGGGGACGUUCAAAAAACGAGACCUGUUCUCCACUUUCUUGUGUUUCCCACUCUCAUUUGUCACUAUUCAUUGACUUCAACUCUCUUGCCUGUUAACCCCACAAUCCAUCUCCGUUUCUUUCCCUCAAUUUUCGUUUCCUUCUUCAUCUCUCUUUUUGAUUUCUUUGUCCCAAUUCCACCAUGUCUGUCUUUGGAGAGGCUGUUCUUUCUGCCUUUUUGGAGCUCUUGUCUGCCAAGUUGCUUGACUCUAUACUCAACUUUCUGGCCGAUUACGGGCAAGUCCACCAGCAACUCAAGCUGUGGCAAUCCAUAUUACCCGAGAUCAAAGCAGUGUUGAACCAUGCAGAGGAGAAGCAGAUCAAGGACGAGGACGAGGGUGUGCAGAAUUGGCUGGGCGAUCUCUAAGACUUAGCUUACGAUGUGGAUGACAUCUUGGACGAGUUCGCUUACCAAGAGUUACGUCUCAAGCUUCAAAAAACUCAAGCACAAGCCAACAUUAGUAAGAUACAGAAACUCAUUCCAACCUGCUGUACUGGUGGUAAUUUCUCUCCAAUCUCUUUUAUGUUCAAUGCUAAGAUGAUUUCAAAGAUAGAAGCAAUCACUGAUAGACUGAAUAGUUUGAACACUAGAAGAAAUAGUUUGGGGUUGAGUGAGAUCAUGUCUCAAGGCGCAACUUCCAAGGGAAAGAAGCCCAGGCUGCAACCAACUUCCUUGAUUGAUGGGGCUGUGGAGUAUGUUGGUAGAGCCAAUGAGAAGCAAAAAAUGCUUGAGUUGCUCAAAAGUAACAAUUCCGAUGGAGUUUGUGUCCUUUCCAUUGUUGGCAUGGGAGGGAUAGGGAAAACGACACUGGCUCAGCUUGUUUACAAUGAUCCCAGCAUUAAGGAGUCUUUCUAUCACAAGUCCUGGGUAUGCGUUUCUGAUGACUUUGAUGCUGUUAACAUAACAAAGACGAUUUUAAGAUCCCUCGAUGCUGACUCACGAGAUGAGAAUGACUUGAACUUGCUUCAAGUCAUGUUGAAGGAGAAGUUAUCCGGUAAAAGGUUCUUGCUUGUUUUAGAUGACAUUUGGAAUGAGAGUUACCGUGAUUGGACCAUCUUACGUCGUCCAUUUGGAGCAGGAACCAAGAUUAUUGUAACAACUUGACUCCAAAAGGUUUCAUCUAAUGUAGAUCCGGUGAAAGCUUUUUUCUUGGAUAAACUCUCGCAUCAUGAUUGUUUAUCCAUAUUUGCUCAGCAUGCAUUGAAAGCAAGAAACUUUGAUGGGCAUCCCCAAUUUAAAGAAAUUGGAGAGAACAUAGUGAGAAGGUGCAACGGCUUACCUUUGGCAGCAGAAGCCAUUGGAAGCUUAUUACGGACAGUUACGGAUCAUAGUGAAUGGGAAAAAGUAUAUGAGAGCGAGAUAUAGGAGCUACCAGAAGAUCCACAUGGCUUAAUUCCAGCUUUGCGAUUAAGCUACCAUUAUCUUCCCCCUCAUUUGAAGCGAUGCUUUGCAUACUGUUCCAUAUUUCCUAAAGAUUAUGAAUUUAAAGAAGAAGAGAUAAUCUUGUUGUGGAGAGCAGAAGGUUUCUUGCAAUUAAAAGCUAAAAUUCAAGGCAAAGGUCUUGGAAACCAGUAUUUUCAAGAUCUAGUGUCAAGGUCAUUUUUCCAAAUAUCUAGUAAAGAUAAAUCCCGUUUCGUGAUGCAUGAUCUUAUGAAUGAUUUAGCUCAAUUAGUUGCAGGAGAAAUAUGCUGCAGAUUGGAAGGUGAAAAGCAACAAAAGUUUUCGCGUCGUUCUCGUCACUCAGCUCAUGUUAGCGAUGAUUGGAAUCACAGUGUAAAGAAGUUUGAAGCAUUUUAUCAAAUGACUUCUUUACGUACUUUCUUACCAUUACCCUUAAUGGUUCCAAGAUAUGAGGUAUUCUAUUUAUCUAAUGUUGUCUUGGAUGAUUUAUUGUCAAGACUUAGCUACUUAAGGGUUCUUUCUUUGCGUGGGUAUGAGAUCUAUGAUUUGCCCGACUUUUUUGAAAAUUUAAAACAUCUACGCUACUUAAAUUUUUCUAGAACCCGAAUUAAUUGUUUACCUGAUUCUUUGUGUACUCUUUAUCAUUUGGAGACUUUAAUAUUAAGAGAUUGUUCAAAGCUCAAAAAUUUACCCUCGAAGAUCGGAAACCUUGUCAACUUGCAUUUUCUUGAUAUUAGAGGUGCGGACUCAAUAGAAAGGAUGCCCUCCGGAUUUGAUCAGCUCACCAAACUUCAAAUCUUAUCUAAUUUUGUUAUAGGGGAAGGUGAUGGACUUCUGAUUAGAGAAUUGAAAAAUUUGUCAAACCUUAGAGGUAAUUUUUGUCUUUCUGGAUUGGAGAAUGUUAAUGGUCAAGAUGCGAGGGAAGCUAAGUUAAAUGAGAAGCUAGGGAUUGAUGGGUUAGAACUACAAUGGGGUACAGGCUUGGAGAAUAGUACAAGGAAAAAAGAAGUUGAAGAGCGGGUGUUGGACUUUCUUCGUCCUCAGAAAAAGCUUGAGCAACUCAUCAUUGAGAAUUACGGGGGUGUAAAAUUCUCGUCUUGGAUAGCGGAUUCUUCCUUCAAGAAUUUAUCGUCUUUGAAGCUUCGCAAUUGUAAAAACUGCAAGUCACUACCAUCAGUUGGAAGGUUUCCAUUGUUAAAAGAUCUUUCAAUUAUUAGUUUCGAUCAAGUACAGAAGAUUGGUGUUAAGCUCUUCGGAGAAAAUCAAUUGAAUCCAUUUGCAUCAUUAGAGAUUCUGUCUUUUGAGAGUCCUCCAAACUGGAAGGAGUGGGACACUUGCGAAGGAGACGAGAAGGUUUUGAAACUCCCCAGACUUCGUGAGCUUUCAAUCAAAACCUGUCCUCAAUUGCUGGGAAGGUUGCCUACCCAUCUUCCUUCCUUGCAAAAACUUGAAAUUCAUAGCUGUACGAGAUUGGUUGUUUCAAUAUCAAGUUUCCUGUCACUGUGUAAAUUCAGUAUACGAGGGUGUGCAGAACUGGUGGAUGAUUGCUCUUCUCCUGCAAAGGAGCUUUCCUCUUUGCAAACCUUGUCUCUUUCUAACAUUUCAAAGUUUAAUAUUCCAGCAGAUAGGAUAAUGUUGAGGUUUGGAAACUCAGAACAUUUUGAAAUUGAUGCCUGGGAGGAGUUGGCAUCUCUAUCACAGCAUGGGUUUAGUUUAGUUGGACAUCGUUUCAUUUCCGUUUGGCAUUGUCCUCAACUGCAGUCUUUGGAAGCCGAGGAAGCCGAAUUGCAGCCUAACAAGAUUUCACAUGUUGAAUCUCUGAAGAUAGCUUCUUGUGGUAGGCUCAAUAGACUACCACAAGUCUUACAUGAGCUCACAUUCCUUACGGUGAUGGAAAUUUAUAAUUGUCGAGGCUUGGUUUCUUUUGCAGAGAAUAACUUACCUCCUAAUUUAAAAAAGCUGAAGAUUGCAGACUGUGAGAAUUUGGAGUACUUGGUUGAUGAAAAAGAAGAUAAUAAGAGUAUGAGUAGUAUCCUCUGUCUUCUUGAGGACUUGGAAAUAUUUGAGUGUCUAUCUCUAAUGUCUUUGUCAUCGAAGGGGCACAAAAAUAUUUGCAAUCAGCUUCAAUUUCUCGAAAUUUCCGCAUGCUCAAAGCUAAGUUGCCUAUUUUCAAACACCAUGUUUCCCAUAACGCUUAAACAUUUAACAAUUAGGGGAUGUCCAGAGUUGGAAUACAUAGCCCAGGAGUUUGAGGAAACCGCUUGUCUUGAAUCUAUUGUAAUUUUCAGAUCUGGAAUUAAAUCUCUACCACGAGGACUAGACAAGCUCAUCCAUCUCCAGGAGAUUUGUUUGGGUUUGUGUUCAAAUUUGGUUCCUUUUGAAGAAAGUGGGUUGCUCACCACCAGCUUCAGAGCUUUCUUAGUUGAUCGUUGUGGAAAAUUUGGAACCCUUCCUAAGUGCAUGGCCAGCAUCACCUCCCUUCGAGAAUUACGUGUGUGCAACUGUUUGGCUGACAUAUCAUUUCCAUCGGAGAGAUUCCCUGUGAAUCUCACAUCACUUGCAAUCUCAAACGCACCCAAAAUUUAUAGGUCACUUGUGGAAUGGGGAUUAAAUAGACUCACCUCUCUUCAAAAAUUGGCCAUCGGAGGUGGAGGAUGCUCAAACGUGGUGUCGUUCCCAGAAGAAGGGAUUGGAAUAAUGCUGCCUCCUUCUCUCACCCGUAUCUCCCUUUCAGAAUUUGAGAACCUGGAAUUCAUGUUCUCCGAGGGCUUUCAAGACCUCGCCUCUCUUAAAGAAUUGGUGAUC
Molecule: long non-coding RNA, 10052 nt
Filed under: Gossypium barbadense (sea-island cotton)
Lineage: Eukaryota; Viridiplantae; Streptophyta; Magnoliopsida; Malvales; Malvaceae
Description: long non-coding RNA (GBAR_LNC002829)
Source: RNAcentral